Rhodamnia argentea is the source of this 190-nucleotide long non-coding RNA. RefSeq lists it as uncharacterized. The transcript has 3 exons. The record is from RefSeq and is a predicted model, not a curated record. Lineage: Eukaryota; Viridiplantae; Streptophyta; Magnoliopsida; Myrtales; Myrtaceae.
UUAAUAUAAAAUGAAAUAAAAAAACAAAAAAAUAAAUAAAUCCAUGUGGGCUGCCACGUGGACUUCUGCAUUUUAAAAUAAAUUCAAAUAAAAAAAAUUCAAAUUUAAAAAUUAGCUAAAAAUUAAAUUUAUUUAAAAUACAAAAUUUAUUUAAAAUAAAAUUAAAAAUAAGUUUUAAAAAAAAACCUUA